GAAUAGAAGUAAUACCUAUAAAGCACUGAGAAAGGAGCCUGCACAAGGUUGGUACCUAGGUAGUAGCUGUUAUUUAUGCAAAUUGGAAAAGAAGGUUAGAGGUUUGAAUACAAAGUUAAGGUGGUGGUGAAAAUAGCAACCUGUAACUAAUAUUUUAUAACAUUCUUAGCAGCUCAGUAAUGCUGUUGACUGGUUGACUGGUGCUAAUUAGAAAUCUAGUUCGCAUCUGUUUUCUGUUGGUGGUGGCUGUUUUGUUUGUUGCUCUUUUUUUCCAGAUGACCCUGAUUUCAAGAAAGGCUGUCCUCCGUGGGGCACUUGAACAUGUAUUGUUAGUAAAUGCACUGGAAAUGGGUCUUGGUUUUGUUAACCAACCUGAUUUACAAAACUAGAGGAGAAGGCCAAGAAGGAAGCAGAGGAAAAGGCUCGUCUGGCCGCAGAGGAGCAGCAAAAGGAAAUGGAAGCCAAAAGCCAGGCUGAAGAAGGCGCAUCUGGCAAAGCUGAGAAAAAGACGUCUGGAGAAACUAAGAAUCAAGUCAAUGGAACACGGGCAAACAAAAGUGACAACCCUCGUGGGAAAAAUUCCAAAGCUGAGAAGUCAUCAGGAGAACAGCAACAGAAUGGUGACUUCAAAGAUGGUAAAAAUAAGACAGACAAGAAGGAUCACUCUAACAUCGGAAACGAUUCAAAGAAAACAGAUGAUUCACAAGAGUAAAAAAGACCUCAUAGACAAUAAAAGAGGCUGCCAAUGUCUUGCAUCAUUCUAGCUGAGCUUCUUCAUUCUCCUUCU
Molecule: small RNA, 787 nt
Filed under: Pan troglodytes (chimpanzee)
Lineage: Eukaryota; Metazoa; Chordata; Mammalia; Primates; Hominidae
Description: processed transcript
Source: RNAcentral